UCUAUACUAUGCAAGCCAAAAUUAAGAUUUCAAAUAACUAACAGCAGAUGACGUUAGAUCAGGAAACUGUGGCGGGUUACAACAGUAAUGGCGUCAAUGUUGAGGAUGAAAAGAAAGAUUAGAAGAUGCAGAUUAGAAAGAUAUAGAAGAUUUAUCGUGGAUAAUGAUGGCGCUAAUGGUGAGAUUGCUAUAAUGGAUUACAGGUAGUAAUGUUGGUGGUGAAAUUGCAGAAGUAGUGGCAGUAAUGGCGGCAGAGGAUUAGAAGAAAGAGAAGAUAUCGAUUAGAAAGGCAUGAAAGAUUUUGUAGUCGAUAUUGAUGGUGAGAUUACUACGGUGGGAUGCGUCAAUAAUGUUGGUGAAAUUGUGAUUGUGGGUAGCAGUAAUAACAUGGUCAGCGCCGGUGAGGAUGAUAAGAAAAACAAG
This 423-nucleotide long non-coding RNA is filed under the name Ricinus communis (castor bean). RNAcentral's name for it is "long non-coding RNA (RCOM_LNC001932)". The record is from RNAcentral. Lineage: Eukaryota; Viridiplantae; Streptophyta; Magnoliopsida; Malpighiales; Euphorbiaceae.